This 253-nucleotide ribosomal RNA is filed under the name uncultured bacterium. RNAcentral's name for it is "partial 16S ribosomal RNA". It matches the Rfam family "Bacterial small subunit ribosomal RNA", at positions 524 to 776 of the family's 1533-position model. The record is from RNAcentral.
GACAGAGGGUGCAAGCGUUGUUCGGAAUUACUGGGCAUAAAGCGCACGUAGGCGGUUCGCUAAGUCUGUCGUGAAAUCCCCCGGCUCAACCGGGGAAUAGCGUCGGAUACUGGCGAGCUCGAGGUCGAUAGGGGUAAGUGGAACUCCAGGUGGAGCGGUGAAAUGCGUAGAUAUCUGGAGGAAUACCAAAGGCGAAGGCAGUGUCCUGGCUGGCAUCUGACGCUGAGGCGCGAAAGCUAGGGGAGCGAACAGG